GAUGAACGCUGGCGGCGUGCCUAAUACAUGCAAGUCGAGCGAACAGAUGAGAAGCUUGCUUCUCUGAUGUUAGCGGCGGACGGGUGAGUAACACGUGGGUAACCUACCUAUAAGACUGGGAUAACUCCGGGAAACCGGGGCUAAUACCGGAUAAUAUUUUGAACCGCAUGGUUCAAUAGUGAAAGACGGUUUCGGCUGUCACUUAUAGAUGGACCCGCGCCGUAUUAGCUAGUUGGUAAGGUAACGGCUUACCAAGGCGACGAUACGUAGCCGACCUGAGAGGGUGGUCGGCCACACUGGAACUGAGACACGGUCCAGACUCCUACGGGAGGCAGCAGUAGGGAAUCUUCCGCAAUGGGCGAAAGCCUGACGGAGCAACGCCGCGUGAGUGAUGAAGGUCUUCGGAUCGUAAAACUCUGUUGUUAGGGAAGAACAAAUUUGUUAGUAACUGAACAAGUCUUGACGGUACCUAACCAGAAAGCCACGGCUAACCACGUGCCAGCCGCCGCAGUAA
RNAcentral lists this ribosomal RNA (514 nucleotides) under uncultured bacterium. Its description in RNAcentral is "partial 16S ribosomal RNA". It matches the Rfam family "Bacterial small subunit ribosomal RNA", at positions 28 to 523 of the family's 1533-position model. The record is from RNAcentral.